This 89-nucleotide microRNA precursor is filed under the name Canis lupus dingo (dingo). RNAcentral describes it as "mir-8799 microRNA precursor family". It matches the Rfam family "mir-8799 microRNA precursor family". The record is from Rfam by way of RNAcentral. Lineage: Eukaryota; Metazoa; Chordata; Mammalia; Carnivora; Canidae.
GGGGGGAGUCCGGAUCCUGGGCUGUGUCCCGGCGCCCUGUGCUCCGGAGCCUGCGCUGGUGGAUUCGCGCUCCCGCCCCACAGCCCCCU